Molecule: long non-coding RNA, 1026 nt
Filed under: Manihot esculenta (cassava)
Lineage: Eukaryota; Viridiplantae; Streptophyta; Magnoliopsida; Malpighiales; Euphorbiaceae
Description: long non-coding RNA (MESC_LNC001050)
Source: RNAcentral
UACCCCCAGAGAAACCCUGAGCUUCAAAUCUGUGAGUAUAAGGGAAACUCGUUUUUCCUAUAAAUGUAUUUGCUUUCUCACCAUUGAUUCGUGGUUUCAAAAACACGACUAGAUCCGAUCGAUGUUUCUCCACAAAUAACCUAAAAGCAUUAAAGAAAGGGGAGCUUCAUGCUCCUUGGCAGUUCCAUAUAAACACAGACAUAUUAAAAAUGUAAGAGAAGAGAGAAUGGGAAACAACGAAACCAAACCUCAGUCCUGUAGGUAAGGAUCCACAAAUGGUUCCUUCUCAAAAUCACUACAAAUGUUGACCUGGUCCAUAUCUUCGCUGUCACCAUUUUGGUCUUCCCUCAUUUCCUCAUCCACAGCCAGCUGAGUGGAGAUGGAUGGUAAAGCUUCCUACAUAAGAGCCCCAUCACUAGAGAGUAAGCUUGGUAUAGAGGAAAAGGGAAUCAAAUAGGUAAGCUUGGUAUAGAGGAAAAGGGAAUCAAAUAGGAGCUAAGGCUUGUGUUUGGUGGUUUGCUAUGCACAAUAGUGUUCUUAUUUUUAACCAAGGUCCCACUCUUAUGGCUUUGGUUAAGGGCCUUCUUAUUUAUGGCUUUCGUCGAGGGCCCAAUACUAACGACAAAAUUAUUCAUAGGGUCUAAGGAAGUCUUCAUGCAUGAGAUAUCUGCAUGAGGACUCUAAAUGGGAUUUGACAUAUGUGGGGAAUCUGCUAGCGUUGAUAUGAAGGAGCAUACCUUUUCCUAGGAUCUCCACCUUGUCCUUUUUGCUUCGAUUGUGCCCCUACCCGAUGUAUAUCUACCUUUUUAGCAUAUUUGACCCUCCCUUUUUCAUGGGUAUCCAUUAUAAGGACAGGCCUAAUACUAGCCACAAAUAGGGCAUCAACUGAUUAAUUCUCAUAAGCUAGAGUUUCCAUCUCUACAUCUUUUGUUAAGGAAUCAAAUUGAGAUCCAUUACUAGCCUGAUUGAUGCUCUCCGAAACUUUCCUAGUAUGCACUUUCCUUCCUCUACGAGUCACAACCAUCC